UGUCCAGCAACUCCUAUCCCUACCUCAACGCGGUACAAGCCGGAAACUAUGAGCAACCUUAGGGAAGAUCGGGUAACCAACUCCGGUGGGAACUUUGGUCGUAGGCUGACAGGAAAGG
Aedes albopictus (Asian tiger mosquito) is the source of this 118-nucleotide non-coding RNA. NCBI's taxonomy places the organism in Eukaryota, Metazoa, Arthropoda, Insecta, Diptera, Culicidae. The record is from Rfam.